RNAcentral lists this ribosomal RNA (3211 nucleotides) under Triticum aestivum (bread wheat). RNAcentral's name for it is "partial small subunit ribosomal RNA". Lineage: Eukaryota; Viridiplantae; Streptophyta; Magnoliopsida; Poales; Poaceae. The record is from RNAcentral.
GAAGCUCUCACACACGCCGGCUGGUAGUUCGAACAAUACUGCGUGAAACUUAAAGGCUCGUUCAGCGUCGGAAAAGUCUAAGUAGUUGUGUCCAAUGUAGUCAUCAGUUAUACCAAGUCUACGUAUUAUCAUGCAUGAAGUAAAGGAAAAACAACACAUGCCACAGGAUGUUGUACCUAGUAUAUAUAGCCAAUAGAAAGUCCAAGUCAAACGACACCGCUUAAGAAGAACUUAAACAACGUCGUUUGAACACCAGUACAUACCAAAAAUCAAAACGUUCGUACGUAUCAAAUCUUCAAUCUUUCGAGCAAGUACAUAACAAGAUUUGACUUUCAAAUUCACCGAAAAGGUGGGUACCAUAACACCACCAGUAUUAUCGUGUGGAGUGUUAAUAAUACCGGUCUAGAUGUUCGUGACUCGCAACACAAAAAAUCGGGGGAGACAAAGAGGACCCGUAGUUAGAUACGCGUUGUUCGAGAAGUCACGAACUACUGUUUAUUUCCAACGUAGAAUCUAUAAACGAACUAAACUUACUCGGUAAAACGACAGUCGAUUUGACAAUUUUCGGUCUACAUUCUAAUACAAAGAACCGUGUACUCAAUAAAAAGUCAGUUACGCACCGCUAAGGUGAAGCUUGACUAUAUACGUGAAAAAUAAACUUUGACUUGGUGGUACCAAAUUAAAAUAAAAGUAAACCUGUUCAAUGGGGUUCAUAGUAGUCAAGUACUACUGACCAAACCACACUACUUAACUAGGACCACGACUAAAUUCUCAAAAAAUACUGCGACAGAACAUUCCCUCAUUCCAGACCAUAGAUAUACCGACAAUAAAAUCGAGAAUGUCUAACGGUAUAUACUGUACGAUUAACAAAAAUCGAGAACUAUAUCAAUUUGAAAAAAAAAGCUUUGCCUCCGUUUUCUAAACGGAGUAGGUAAUUUACCCUCCUCUUAUCUCAAUUUGAAACCUACGUGGUCACGGACUACGUAUACAAACAAAUGAACCAAACUUGAGACUUACUAUACAACAAUAGGACGUGCGUACGGACUACUCAACCACGACGACCAUAAAACUCCUCCGUUCAACACCAAAAUGAGGACCGGGACUCUUCCCACUUGAUCCGGUAUCGCUCCCGCGGAAGUCCUUGUAGCUCAGUCCCACGGAGUGAAAGAUAAAGUCAGACGCUCCAUUACUUCCGUUUUUUUUCAAAGAUGAACGGGACAAGAACGUUGAUUUGUCUCUUUUUGACACACCAAUGACUUCGUAAUACCAGAUAUCAAUGGCUUCGUAACGUAAACAACUCUUUCACAAGGAAUAUGGUACAUUCAUCCCUGUUAAUGAUAAAUUGAUCCAUGUUAAUUAUAAAUUGUUCGGUGUCAACUAGUUCAUCAGUUACGAAUUUAUACGGGCGUGAGACAGCAUAGGUCCUACCUCGAAACGAUCGAAAACUCAACCUAAGAAAACUGACGUGGAUUUAUACUGUUCGGCUGUCAUUUACUCGAGUAAAAUUUUUUGACGUCAAAUUUCCUUUAAUAAUGUUAUACAUAUAGUUAAGGUUGUAACGAUAGACUUCCUACUAAAUUCCUGAUAAACAGAGACUACCGAAAGGGACAAACCGAGGGAAAAUACACUCAACUGAGAUGUCAAGAUCCUAGAAGAGACAUUGGUAUUUAAGUGUCGAAUCGUUUUCAUAUAUAUAUGAACGAUCUGGAAGAGUAAUGUGAGAAAGUGAAAAAACCUGAUUAUGAUAGGACAUAUCUGGAUUAUUGUCUUCUGUACCCUUUACGAAAGCAUUGUACUACAAAAAAAAACAAUCUACGAGACAAAUAAAUCACAGCAACUAGGUUUUUGGACUUUCACAUCUUUACAAGUACGUACCCUGAUAUCUUGGUUCAUAAAGAGCUAAACCACUACGAAUUAAGUCUCAAGAAUACGUAGUCUAACCUCACAAUUGUGUUUGGACAAUAAAUAAAGUGAAGUAUACUCAAUUACGGUUCCGGAAAAAACACAGGGGAGAUUAGUAACGUAGACAUAGAACUAGUAACAUAAUGCUCUUCGUUUUAUAAAGAGUACAAAACGAGUCACACAGAUGAAUAGAAUAAAUAAUAUAAUUGAUAAAAAACUACUAUAAAGUGUUCUUACUGUAACAAUCUAAAUCUAAGCAAUCCAAAGUUGUGUAAACUACCAUCCGGUAAAGUUAUUAAGAUAAACAAAGUCCGUAACCAUCUAACACAAUGUUGACUUCUCAAAGAACACGAUUAUGAACGUCUAGAGCUGUGUGGGACUUGUUACUCGUGUACAAUGGUCGGUGUAAGGUGUGUCCUACACAAGAAAAGUUUUGUUUCUAUGGGACUAUGUACUAAUAAGGAGAAAGUUCAAGAACUAGGAACUUCUAUGAACGAUCCAAAGAUCGACUAAAAAACCAUCAUAUUCCGAUAUUCGAGCUACAUAUACCGGACUUAUACUAGACUAAGUCUCAUGUAACACAAGACUUCGAAAAACGACAUACCAAGAGAGAACUUUCUUAAGUUCGGUAACAAGUUACCCUCUCUUAUCAACAUUAGGAGUUUAUUGACAGCAUGGAUAAGUAGUCGACUGUGUUAACGGUGGCUCUAGUAAUAAAAGGAAAAAAAAGUCCAAAAGUUGUAGUGCUUAAAGUAUGAAUACCUCACCUCGAUGGUUUUAUAGAUAACUCCUUUAUACAGCUUCGUGUCUUAUAUAAGGUAUACGUCACCUGAUUGUCUUGCUGUGUUGUGUAUUUUUCUCCUCGUAUUCACCUUUGGAAAGAAAGAGAAAUUUAAGAACUCCUGACAUUGUAAUACUACUUCCACCUUGGUAUCUCUCUACACAUAAAAAUUAACUCUAUAAAAGUCCUCAUGGAAACGUUUCGACUAUAUAGAAAGAAAAUGUUCUAUACCAACGUGAACGAAGUAGAUGUAUCCGGCAGACCUUACGGUACUCCGGCCCUAAACACAUCCUUUAAAAGUUUCGAUAAUAUAACCAGAGUUCUUUGAACGUUAUGUAGUUACGUAAAAAUAAAAAUAAAAAAACGACUGUGGUGUCGAUGGUGGAGAAGUGAUUUACUGUCUCCAACGGUCGUCGACGUGUACCUUUCUAACUUACAAUAUAAGACAGAUGAUUAGUUAUUCCUCCCUCUAGUUUUAAUUACGAGAGUUUAUAAGCGGACUAGUAAACAUACAAAGACGUUAAAAGG